UGGUGUAGCAUGGGUGUUCAGGGCUGUGUUUUCACUGCAUGGUCUGUUUAAACGCAAAGGGUGGAAGAGUUAAGGCACCAGGUGUUGCUGUGACUGACUUCGCUAAUCAUCUCAGGGGGAGCUGUACUCCGUUUUUCUGCUGGAUUAAUGCACUCUUUCUCUUCACUACGGAAAUGAUUCUGCGAUCAACGACCACUAUUGUCGUCGGUGAAAGUCCAGGUCUUUUUGCUGGGUUCAAAAGUGCUUUCCUUUUUUUCAGGAUGUACCAAACUGUAGGUUUCACCACUCCUAAUAUUGUAACAAUUUCUCAGAUGGGUUUUUUCUGUUGUCACAGAUUAAGAAUGGCUUGUUUCACCUGCAUGGAGAGCUCAUUUGACUGCAGGCAAUCUACUGAGAGCCAAAUCUUUCACAUACAUGUUUCUAUGUCUAAAUCUAAGCUGGCUCCAUAGAGACUGUUUAUCGUGUCCCUGAGCCCCUGAGUCUGAGUCUCCUAAGCCACCCAAGCCAGCUGAGCCCAAAGCUGAGCAUAUGUUUUCCAAACAUGUGCAUUUCGACUGUGAGACUGCCUCCUUGCAGAAAUGGAAAUUACACACUGAUUUAAGAAUGUUUUCUCAGAAUGAAUUUACCUGAGCUGUGAGAUAUAAGGCAGACAUUCAAGGAAACUCCUCACUUCACUCUCUUCAUGUGAGCAGCCUGUCAGCUUCACUUGUUUCUUCUCUGGUUGGAGUUUCAGCACUUCCAGGAGGAUGGAGGUCUUUCUCUCUGAGAGGUUUAUGGACCAGACUGCAGGAGCUGACUGGAUAACUGACUGUAAUGAUGGUAAGAUGCUCACGUCUGCUUUGGUCUCAUAAGAGCACAGGUCCAUAAGAAAAUCACACCAUUUCUCUUUAAGAGGGAAUCUUUCAUAUGUGCACACUGAUGAUAACAGCUCCAGUAUCUCCUCUCCUGUCUGCUGUUCUCUCUCUGCUGCUGCACAGAACAGAUUCCCAAAGAACUUAGCUUCUUCACAAAAAUCUGAAUUCUCAGGAUCAACACUGAAACAUCAAAAAACAAACAUUUAGUGAUGAUUUGAUCUGAGCUGCAUAAACACAACCACACACUACUGACGGACUCCAUCUUGUCCAUGUGUGUCCUGUAUAUAAUGAAAGUCCAUUUUAAAGCCAUCUUCCAUCAGAGCAGCUGAACAUUGUUUUUAGACUGUUACUGACUCACAAUUCAAUUCAAUUCAAUUCAAUUCAAUUCAAUUCAGUUUUAUUUAUAUAGCGCCAAAUCACAACAACAGUCACCUCAAGGCGCUUUAUAUUGUACAGUAGAUCGUACAAUAACAGAUACAG
This is a long non-coding RNA of Oreochromis aureus, 1334 nucleotides long. Lineage: Eukaryota; Metazoa; Chordata; Actinopteri; Cichliformes; Cichlidae. The record is from Ensembl.